AUCAGGGUGGCUGAUCAGUCCAAAGCACUGCAUUUAGGCUGCAGUCUUCUCCGGAGGCGUGAGUUCAAAUCCCACUCCUGACG
Molecule: transfer RNA, 83 nt
Filed under: Pelodiscus sinensis (Chinese soft-shelled turtle)
Lineage: Eukaryota; Metazoa; Chordata; Testudines; Trionychidae
Rfam family: tRNA
About the family: Transfer RNA (tRNA) molecules are approximately 80 nucleotides in length. Their secondary structure includes four short double-helical elements and three loops (D, anti-codon, and T loops).
Source: Rfam by way of RNAcentral